Molecule: ribosomal RNA, 272 nt
Filed under: uncultured archaeon
Lineage: Archaea
Description: partial 16S ribosomal RNA
Rfam family: Archaeal small subunit ribosomal RNA
Source: RNAcentral
CAGCGCCACGAGUGGCGAUCAUAUUUAUUGGGCCUAAAGCGUCCGUAGCCUGUCUGACCCGUCUUUUGUGAAAUCGUUGUGCUUAACAUAACGGUGUGCAAGAGAUACAGUUAGACUUGGAACCGGAGAGGAGUCGGAGGUAUUCCAGGGGGAGCGGUAAAAUGCUAUAAUCCCUGGAGGACCGCCUGUGGCGAAAGCGUCCGACUAGAACGGCUUCGACGGUGAGGGACGAAAGCCAGGGGAGCAAACCGGAUUAGAUACCCGAGUAGUCC